UACGGAGGAGGCGAGCGUUAUCCGGAUUUAUUGGGUUUAAAGGGUGCGUAGGCGGACGCUUAAGUCAGCGGUAAAAUUGCGGGGCUCAACCUCGUCGAGCCGUUGAAACUGGGUGCCUUGAGUGGGCGAGAAGUACGCGGAAUGCGUGGUGUAGCGGUGAAAUGCAUAGAUAUCACGCAGAACUCCGAUUGCGAAGGCAGCGUACCGGCGCCCAACUGACGCUGAAGCACGAAGGCGUGGGUAUCGAACAGG
RNAcentral lists this ribosomal RNA (252 nucleotides) under uncultured bacterium. Its description in RNAcentral is "partial 16S ribosomal RNA". It matches the Rfam family "Bacterial small subunit ribosomal RNA", at positions 524 to 776 of the family's 1533-position model. The record is from RNAcentral.